This 302-nucleotide ribosomal RNA is filed under the name uncultured bacterium. RNAcentral describes it as "partial 16S ribosomal RNA". It matches the Rfam family "Bacterial small subunit ribosomal RNA", at positions 508 to 807 of the family's 1533-position model. The record is from RNAcentral.
GCAGUAGCCGCGGUAAAACGGAGGGUGCAAGCGUUAAUCGGAAUUACUGGGCGUAAAGCGCACGCAGGCGGUCUGACAAGUCAGAUGUGAAAUCCCCGGGCUUAACCUGGGAACUGCAUUUGAAACUGUCAGGCUGGAGUCUUGUAGAGGGGGGUAGAAUUCCAGGUGUAGCGGUGAAAUGCGUAGAGAUCUGGAGGAAUACCGGUGGCGAAGGCGGCCCCCUGGACAAAGACUGACGCUCAGGUGCGAAAGCGUGGGGAGCAAACAGGAUUAGAUACCCGGGUAGUCCCUGUCUCUUAUAC